Molecule: non-coding RNA, 572 nt
Organism: Ceratotherium simum simum (southern white rhinoceros)
Lineage: Eukaryota; Metazoa; Chordata; Mammalia; Perissodactyla; Rhinocerotidae
Source: RefSeq, a predicted model, not a curated record
CACUUAUCAAACAGCCAUCAGUUGCGUAACUCCUAUGCUCUAGGCUCUGGAUAAAGCAGUGGGCAAAAUAAAAUUGUUUCAAUAUGGCAGAAUUCCAGGACUGGAAUUAGAGUCAGAGAGUAUGUAGCAGAAGCUGUUGGACCUUUGGGAUCCCUUUUACAGUCAGGGGUGUCCUUCCUCCAGCUGCUGCAGGCGCUGCUGAUGACUCACACCUCAGACAACUGGAGCCACCUCCCUGCAUGCCUGGGAACCACACCCCUCCACAGCCUACAGCCAGUGACUGGCUGAGUACAGCUCCCAACUUCCUGGACAUAAGAAGCAUUUCUUUCUUUGCCUGAUUUGCUCCUCUGUUGCUUCCAAGAUGGCAGGCCUCUCCACACCAAUGGGAAGAUGGCAAGAUGUGUGAACCUACUGCUGGGAACAAAAGCACUGAGCUCACGUAAUCCCCUGGGCAUGUAAGAAGUUAGUGGGGGUAUCUCUGGCCACUGUGAAUGUUGAGCACAUUGUUUUAUAACCCGGCCCCACUGGCUCCCCCUUUCUCCCCCACCUCCAGAUCUAACUAAUCUGGGAUG